Molecule: non-coding RNA, 175 nt
Filed under: chicken gut metagenome
Source: RNAcentral
CCGGUUUCGCCGGAGAGGGAUGAAAAGGGAAUGCCGUGCGAAUCGGCAACAGUUCCCGCUGCUGUAUGUCCCGGCCUCUGCGGAGACCGACGCUUUCGGGAUUCUUAAGCCACUGUCCGGCUGCGGGCGGGAAGGCCCCGGAAGAGGGACGAGUCAGAAGACCUGCCUUGCGUUC